Molecule: ribosomal RNA, 371 nt
Filed under: Salmonella enterica
Lineage: Bacteria; Pseudomonadati; Pseudomonadota; Gammaproteobacteria; Enterobacterales; Enterobacteriaceae
Description: bacterial SSU rRNA
Rfam family: Bacterial small subunit ribosomal RNA
Source: RNAcentral
UGCCAGUGAUAAACUGGAGGAAGGUGGGGAUGACGUCAAGUCAUCAUGGCCCUUACGACCAGGGCUACACACGUGCUACAAUGGCGCAUACAAAGAGAAGCGACCUCGCGAGAGCAAGCGGACCUCAUAAAGUGCGUCGUAGUCCGGAUUGGAGUCUGCAACUCGACUCCAUGAAGUCGGAAUCGCUAGUAAUCGUGGAUCAGAAUGCCACGGUGAAUACGUUCCCGGGCCUUGUACACACCGCCCGUCACACCAUGGGAGUGGGUUGCAAAAGAAGUAGGUAGCUUAACCUUCGGGAGGGCGCUUACCACUUUGUGAUUCAUGACUGGGGUGAAGUCGUAACAAGGUAACCGUAGGGGAACCUGCGGUUG